AAAAAGACAAACCCUGGUUUCCGUGUCCAACGUUUGACCGUCCGUCUUAUUUGAAAAAAUUAUGAAAAAAAAUUAAAAAGACAAGUCACACAUAAAAUAUUAAUCAUAUUUUUAUCAUCUAACAACAAUGAAAAUACGAAUUAUAAAAAAAAUUUAUAUAAGACGGACAGUUAAAGUUGGACACGGAAACCUAGGGUUUGUCUUUUU
Molecule: microRNA precursor, 207 nt
Filed under: Oryza sativa Japonica Group (Japanese rice)
Lineage: Eukaryota; Viridiplantae; Streptophyta; Magnoliopsida; Poales; Poaceae
Description: MIR812 microRNA precursor family
Rfam family: MIR812 microRNA precursor family
Source: Rfam by way of RNAcentral